This 492-nucleotide ribosomal RNA is filed under the name uncultured bacterium. RNAcentral's name for it is "partial 16S ribosomal RNA". It matches the Rfam family "Bacterial small subunit ribosomal RNA", at positions 29 to 507 of the family's 1533-position model. The record is from RNAcentral.
AGUGAACGCUGGCGGUAGGCCUAACACAUGCAAGUCGAACGGCAGCACAGUAAGAGCUUGCUCUUACGGGUGGCGAGUGGCGGACGGGUGAGGAAUACAUCGGAAUCUACUUUUUCGUGGGGGAUAACGUAGGGAAACUUACGCUAAUACCGCAUACGACCUACGGGUGAAAGCAGGGGAUCUUCGGACCUUGCGCGAUUGAAUGAGCCGAUGUCGGAUUAGCUAGUUGGCGGGGUAAAGGCCCACCAAGGCGACGAUCCGUAGCUGGUCUGAGAGGAUGAUCAGCCACACUGGAACUGAGACACGGUCCAGACUCCUACGGGAGGCAGCAGUGGGGAAUAUGGGACAAUGGGCGCAAGCCUGAUCCAGCCAUACCGCGUGGGUGAAGAAGGCCUUCGGGUUGUAAAGCCCUUUUGUUGGGAAAGAAAAGCAGCAGGUUAAUACCCCGCUGUUCUGACGGUACCCAAAGAAUAAGCAGCGGCUAACUUCGUG